This 551-nucleotide unclassified non-coding RNA is filed under the name Hevea brasiliensis (rubber tree). Lineage: Eukaryota; Viridiplantae; Streptophyta; Magnoliopsida; Malpighiales; Euphorbiaceae. The record is from RNAcentral.
AUGCGAAAUUUUGAGGAGAAGGACUACGUAGCAUGGCUACAAUUUUGUAGCUCUUAAUUGGAUAAAUUACGAUAAAACUCAAAUCUCUCCGCCAGUAAGUUUUGUUGAAUGUCCACUUGAAAAGGAUCAUUUUGCAAGGAUGAGUAAUGCAUCAAACUUCAAGAUUUUGAAGGCCAUUUGACUCCUCUCCACGAGCAGCAUGAUUGAACAAAUCUCCAACAGGACACGGGCACCCCACCUUAUCACAUGGUGUAGGCAUCGUCCUUGAGGAUAUCUAUGAACAGGGGAAAAAAAACUGCAGAAUCUAAAGAAAUAUUUGGUAGUGCACAUAAUACACAGAAUGUCCAUGAGACCAAGAGAUCCUAUGCAAGAUUGUAGCAGAACAUCAAAGACCGUAACCCAUGCACAGAGGACACAAGUGAUCACCAGCGAAAAGACAUGGAUUAGCAUACUGAAAGAUGGAUUCAGAUUCCAAUAAAUUGCAAUGUUGAUCUAUCUUGUCAAUUUUACAAAUUCAGAUUCCUACUCACAAGUAGGAGCUUGUAUGCGCC